UGUCCUUUUCUGCCGCUGAAGUUUGUGCACGUUAAAGUUUGUCUUCAGAUGCUCUCCCUCUUCUCUCCUCCGCGGAGAGUGAGUAGUUCGGCUGCUCCUGCGUGAUCCCUCCGCGCCGUGACUUGUCGCCGCGUCGGCUGCACGACGCGUGCCUCUCGCUGUGUUAAACUGGGCCGCGUGCAGAUGGAGGAUCGAUUGUUUUCUUUUCUCCUCAGAAAUCUCUAAUUGAGCGAAUACGGACUGCAGAGGGGAGGAAAGAAGAAGGAGAGGAAGAAAAUAGAAUCAGCCGGGCCUGCAGUGUAAACCAAGAGGUCACAGGUUCGAGCCCCGCCUGAUGCUUGUGCGUCAAACACGUAAAUCUGGAGAAAGACGCCGACCAUCGGCACAUCAUCUCCUCCGAGGAAGCGGCUCUUCUCCCCCACGCAACACGCCUCGCGCUCGGUCCGUCCCCUCCCGGUCUGUCCCCUCGUGCCACCAGAUUGCAGACAAAUAAAAGACGAGCGCGGAGGCGACGGACGCCUCUAUGAAGUAGAAAAAGAAAAAAGAAGAAGAAGAAGCUUCUUCACGCUCGGACGCCUCUUUUGUAACACUUUUUUUUCUUUCUGGCACAUAAUAAAUAAAAACCUGCUCGCUCACAAAA
Molecule: long non-coding RNA, 640 nt
Organism: Pseudoliparis swirei
Lineage: Eukaryota; Metazoa; Chordata; Actinopteri; Perciformes; Liparidae
Exons: 2
Source: RefSeq, a predicted model, not a curated record